Schizosaccharomyces pombe (fission yeast) is the source of this 201-nucleotide non-coding RNA. The record is from the annotation of a GenBank genome assembly. Lineage: Eukaryota; Fungi; Ascomycota; Schizosaccharomycetes; Schizosaccharomycetales; Schizosaccharomycetaceae.
UUCCUCGUUUAAAAAUUCUGAUCUUUGGGCGAUGGAUGCCCUAGCCUGUAUCAGAUCUGCAACAGACCCAUCAAUAGACUUAUCAAUUGAAGCUAAUUGAGCAUCAAUUUGGCUGUUGGGUAAAAACUUGAUUAUCUAUUCUCGUUAAAAAAACGGUAUCGACAAAUAGCUGAGAAAACAUAUAAUCUGAACUUACCUUAG